Molecule: long non-coding RNA, 3941 nt
Filed under: Homo sapiens (human)
Lineage: Eukaryota; Metazoa; Chordata; Mammalia; Primates; Hominidae
Description: HSALNT0049283
Source: RNAcentral
ACCCAGGUCAGUAUUUUCCCUGUUGAGACCGAAGCAACUGAGGGUUGUACAACACACUCAACUGCUUCUUGAGGCCACUGUAGUUUCCAUGGGCAAAAGCAAACAGUCCUGAGCAAAUCCCACAUGACCUGUUCCAUUCUUGACUCUUCUAUUUACCUUUGUUUUUGAAGAAGCCCAGACACUAAGGCGACAUUCUCAUAAGUAUGUCACUUUAGCUGAGGAGGAAUAAACUACAGUGCUACAGCCAGGUGCCUGAUUCAAUCACAAAAUUAUUCAGACACCUGGGGCAAUGCCCAGCUGGCAGGGCUACCUGUUUGUUUUUCUUUUCAGCUUGUAUUUUGUAUUGUUGCCAGCCUUGUGUUUUAGAAGCAUUGAGGGCACUUAGCAUUUAUUUAGUCUUGGUUCCCACAGUCUUCCACCAGAAGCCCACCCCACGUGUAGGCGCGGGCGUUCAGGCGGGCUGCUGCUUGCUGGGAACCACGUUUCUCAGCCUGACUUGUUCUCUCUCUUCCUCUCCUAGAGGUUCAAAAGUCCAUUUCCAGUAUUUCCCAUAGAAAAGUGCUCCUAAUAUCUGAAAGUAUGCUAUUUUAGGAUGCAAGUAGAUCUUUGUCCUUCCUGCUUGGUGGAGAUGAAUUGGGGCACUGUUCCUGAGCCAGUGGCCUCUGUGAACACUGGAACACUGCCUGGGUGUCCACCCUCAUGUGGAGAAGCCAUGGGGACAGCUGCAGAAGAGAGUACCCACCUGGGCAGGUGAGGUGACCAACGCUGGACAACAUGCUUCCCCGUCCACUUGACUUCUUUGCAUCUUGCACUGAGACACAGCCCUCCAAGGGAAGCAGCAGCAGUGAACUGCUUUGUGGCACGAUGGCCUUCCAUGGAGUCUGAGGAAUUCUUCUGGAAGAUAAGGGGCUGGAAUUCCAAUUCCCAUUGGCACUACCCCAUGCAGGUCUAAUACCACUCAUUGGGCGAUAGUUCUUUGUAUUUCAGUCUGACAAUACCGUAUACAAUAGGCUGCUCGGGCUGCCAUUCAUCCGCCCUUGAAGGGGGAAAUUCCUUGAGGUGCUUCAAAGGGAGUUUACACUGAUAAAUGAGCAUUUCAGGAGGUGUGGGAAGAACGCCUGGUCCACGGGCGCCAUUGUCAGCAUUAGGUGAGUAAGGAGAGCGAAGGUGACAUCUGCGGCAAAGUGUCCCAGCAACACACGGCAGGCAGGGACUGUUUUCCUCACCUGCCUUGGCAUUGGCUGCAAAACUGAGGGACCCUAAACAGGCUUUUGGGAGAUUGAUGACUGAUGACAAAAACAGGGCAGCACUCGGUGACUUUCUGCUGGUUCUUGAGAAUCCAAAUGAAAGUCCUACCCUGAACCUGCUCUGCAAAGGGGACCCACAUGAGGUCGCUUGGAAAGGGUCCUGACCCACCCACCAUGUCAAGCAAUUAUUUUUCUGGACAGCUUCCUGAUGUCCCCAAGGAGAGAGAGAGCGUGACAGCCAGUGAGGGAAAGCAUGCCACAGGUCCCGCCUGCUAACCUGGCAGGAGGGUGCUUGCAACACCUAAUUUAUCAACGCUUGUUUUCCCUGCUGGAGCCAAGUACACAAAAUCACUCCGCCAACAGAGAAAGAGAAAGGGGAAGCCAUUCUUCACCUUUUUCAGUAAUGUAUUUUUGUUUUGGUCAAUUUCCCAGAUAAAUUAUGGUCUUGUCUCAUUGCUGCAUUGGUGGAAUUCUUGCUAGUGUUAUUUAGUACAUUUUAAAGCUGUGUGAAACCAAAAGGUACUUAAAAAAAAAAAAAAAAGGAAAGUUAACCAAAUUGAAGGGUAAAUUUUUUACAUUGUUCCACUGGCUCCAGUUGGAGCUUAAUCAUCACGACCCUUCCUUCAGUCCACAGCGCCUGCUUCAAGAUGCAGCAGAAGUCAAAAUUGCAAGAGUCUGGAUGUUUUGCUUUCGUGUAACUCAUUAGGCAUUUCCCCCUGUGCUAUGAUAAAUGUCUCUCUCAACCAGAAAUUUUAUCUCACCUGUGUAUGUCCCUAUUUCACUCUGCGGAAUCACUCUCAGGAAAUACAAGCUAAUGAUGUCUGUGGUUCUGAAAUUUCCUUGUUAUUAUUUGUUUAAGACAUUUUUUAAAAAAACCUGUGGACAGCUUAUUAAAAGGAUGCUGAGCAAUGAAAACAUUAUUAGACCAUAUUAUUGUUUAUUGUACCCAGAUGUCGUGCAUUUUACACAUCCCAAAGGAUUAGUAGUAAUGUUGGAUACCAAAAUCUUACUUUUCCUUGCAGAUAUUGAGACUAAAUUUUUCUCAUUAAAAACAAAACAUUUACACUGAACAAAUGGUGCGUGUCCGGGUGAAGCAUCAGGUCUCAAGAAGGCAACACUGCUCAAACGAGACUUAGGACAGAACUGGAGACCAAAACAAAGCUGAGGCUACUGUUGGAAAUACUGGUCUAAAAAAAGGAAGAGUGUGGUAUGCUUGUUUUUUAGUUUUAUAGAAUUUUCCAUUUGGAAAGGAGAGAAAUGCAUACAUCCAAGCUGAAAUAAACCAUUCUAGCAAACAUGCCGAGGAAUAAUUUUCAAGAAUGUUUUGUUUUUAAUGAAAAGGAAAGCAAAUCAAAGAAAACCUGGGUAAGUGUUAAAGAGUACUAAAUUUAUAGUAAGGUUCAGGCAAUCUGCCCACUGCAAUCAGAAAGGUUUGGGCUGUUAGUCAUUUAAGACACACAAUGGGAAAAUAAACAAAGAAGGAGGAAGGGGGAAUGGUAAACUGUAGUUUGGCAGCAAAAUUAGUCCAGCUAGUUCCAUUACAUAUUAAACCAUGUCACAAAGCAAAUAAUUGAAAUAAUGAGGAGCUCAUUUUUUAAAAGAUAUAUAGAGUAGCAUAACAGAAUCAACAAAAAUAAGACUGUUUUAUAUAACAAUUCAAUAGACAAUAAAUAAGCACUCCAUUUGGGGAAAAGAAUCACACAAUAAAUGAUGCUGGGAUGGCUUGUGAGUAAUUUGGAGAAAACUGAUCUAGAAUGAGAGCGAGUAUUCCACAUUCGCCACUCUCUUGUCUUUUGGCUUUCUAUCACCUUGGCCAAUGGAGGAAGACAGCAAAAAACAGGAAGGAGGAAGAGUAUGAAGGGAGUCAUUUCUCCCCGGCACUCCAUGCCAGGUUGCUCCAGAAGGCUGUGUCUCUGUCCUAAGGGCUACAGCUUGGCUUGGGCAGUCUUUCCAUACAACUCUCCAGGUUCGGGAAAUUGCUUACUCAUCUGCCCCUGCAAGUGCAGGGAUGACAAUCACUUCCAGCUGAGCUGAGCCCAGCAUGCUGCAUCAUUCUUUGUUGAUGUCCCUCAACUCCGCUGGCGCUAUCUUGAUUAUCCUUAGGCUUACCUCAGUUCCCCAGUCCUAGUGGGCCUUCUGGUUCCUCCUGGGGCACUGACUGAUCCAGGUGCCCUGGGGUUCAGUCGCUAAGUUUCAGCUUCCUAUGUGAUGGGGUUUGGUUCUGUCCUUGUCUAAAUCUCAUGUUGAAUUGUAAUCCCCAGUGCUGGAGGUGGGGCCUGGUGAGAGGUGACUGGAUCAUGGGGUGGAUUUCUCACGAAUAGUUUAGUGCCGUUCCGUUGGUGCUAUCCUCAUGAUAGUGAGUGAGUUCUUGCAAAAUCUGGUCAUUUAAAAGUGCUCCUGCUUUUGCCAUGUGAUGUGUGACAUGCGUACUCCCGCUUCACCUUCCACCACGAUUGUAAGUUUCCUGAGGCUUCCCCAGAAACUGAGCAGAUGCCAGUAUCAUGCUUCCUGUACAGCCUGAGGAUCCAUGAGCCAAUUAAACCUCUUUUCUCUAUAAAUUAUCCAGUCUCAGGUAUUUUUUAUAGCAAUGCAAGAACAGCCUAAUACUGUGCAAUUUCAGAAUCCCAAGUUUCUCUAUUUACCCAAGACCGGGGGGUGCUCCCGCGGCCUGAUUCAUGCUCACAGACAUGCAAA